This 504-nucleotide ribosomal RNA is filed under the name Triticum aestivum (bread wheat). RNAcentral describes it as "partial small subunit ribosomal RNA". The record is from RNAcentral. Lineage: Eukaryota; Viridiplantae; Streptophyta; Magnoliopsida; Poales; Poaceae.
AUGACAAGAGCUCGAGCAAAGGCUAUCGAAGAUAAGGUGAACUCGCUCCUCUCCAAACUACCACUUUCUACACAUGAGACAUGGCUACUACCUCAAGCAGAAACACUAUGUGUGAUCAGGUACUUGGAGGAAGGCCACGGAGCAGCCACACCCAAUGGACAAGAAGAAGAGCUACCGAAGAAGCUACAGCGAGCGGACGUCCGCCCAGGACCGGACGUCCGGCGCCUGACGCUCCAGCCAGCGGACGUCCGACGCCUGACGCUCCAGCCAGCGGACGUCCGGCGCCUGAAGGCCCAGCCGACCCAAGUCCCAGCCGACGACUGCUACAGCGAGCGGACGUCCGGCCUCCUCCGGACGACCGGCAGAACUUCCCAGCGAGCGGACGUCCCGCCCCCACCGGACGACCGGCAUUUCCACACCCGAGCCGAUUCUGCGAAAGUCCGUAGCGACUGGACGACCGGUCGUCUCCCGACGUCCGAUGCAACGUUCACAGAGCGUAAUUAG